GGCUAUUGUUGCUAAGGCAACCACUUCACUGUAUCCUUGUUUUAUUUAGCACAUAGAGUCCUUUAUGAGCUAGAUUUUGAAGAAUCACUGUUAGAUUUCUUGUCUCCUUAUCUUUUUCUUUUAGAAAGCUGGACAUCCGUGUCAAAAAGAAGUUAAGGAAAACAGUAACUUCCCUGAGCAUCAACUCGGAAUAUGCAGAGCUUAUGAAACACCCAGAGGAAAAAGAGAAUUACAAAGCCUUCUGACUCUGACCCACUGCUUGCUGAACACAGCAUGCAAUUAAGCUGAGCGGUAUGCAUCGCUCUGUAGGUUGAAUUGUUGUUGUUCAGUCGCUCAGUCGUGUCCAACUCUGAGAUCCAUGGACUGCAGCCUGCCAGAAUUCCGUCCUUCACUAUCUCCCGGAGUAGGUGGGAUGGUACUACAGCAGGCGCUAAAGUCAGAGAAAUGAAAAGACGACCAGAGUCAACUGCCCUCAGUGUCUUAAAACAUCAACUGCUUUAUAGUAUAAACCUUAAUGUCUUAUCAUAUUUCUACCUGAAAUCAGAUGUUUUAACUUUUUAAUGAUUGUAUACGCUUAUGUGGGUUAAUUGGAAUAUGAAAAUGAAUUAUUUCUUGUUCAGUGAUUCCAUUUUCUAGUUAUCUAUAAUCAUAUUUACCCUAUUUAUUCAGCUUAACUUCUCCUCUUUUAUCCUGUUUCUUUGGCCAGUACAAACUUUAUCAUCUUUUGAAUGGAAUUUUAACUCAGAACAUCGAAUAAAUGAUGACUGUGAUCUUCUUA
Long non-coding RNA from Bubalus bubalis (water buffalo), 778 nucleotides. RefSeq lists it as uncharacterized. NCBI's taxonomy places the organism in Eukaryota, Metazoa, Chordata, Mammalia, Artiodactyla, Bovidae. The transcript is spliced from 4 exons. The record is from RefSeq and is a predicted model, not a curated record.